GUCUACGGCCAUGCCACCCUGAACAAGCCCAAUCCCGUCUGAUCUCGGCAAGUAAGCAGGGUUGGGCCUGGUUAGUACUUGGAUGGGAGACCACCUAGGAAGACCAGGUGCGGUAGGUA
Molecule: ribosomal RNA, 119 nt
Filed under: Pteropus alecto (black flying fox)
Lineage: Eukaryota; Metazoa; Chordata; Mammalia; Chiroptera; Pteropodidae
Source: RNAcentral